AAUGGAUUAUGACAAUGACAGGUAUGAUUUGCCCUUUUCUAUUCAUCUUUUGCAUGUGAUUUAUAGGGUCCGUUGGAUUUGUUUCUUUUUGUGGCUUCUGGAUUUCUUCUACUUUGCAGCAGUUAUAUGGGAAAUUUAGUAUGAGGCUGCGUAUUUUGAACAAUUUGACAAUGUAAUUGUUAAAUCUAUUGGUUCAAUGAGGUAUUGCGCAAAAUAUGAUCUCAAAAUUAGUAAUGAUGUUGUGUAUUUAAUGUUGCUAUUUUAAUUGGUGGCUGCUGCUGUUAGAUAUACUUUUACAUGGGAUUAUUGCCUAUUGUUUGCUUAUGGGAUUACUGCUUGUCUUUGCUAUUGAAUUUGGAGUUGCUGCUUUCUUUUUCUUUCCUUUUUUUUCUUUUUUUUUUUUGGUAUUGAACAUUUGGAAUUAUGUUGGUUUUAGUUUUAAAUUCUAAUUUAAUUUCUCACCAUGUAUUUGACAGUUAUCAUGUGCUUGAAUAAAAUUCACAUCGGAAGGUUUGAAGAAUAUUGGAUGUUUUACUUUUAACCUAUCAUCUACAAUAGAUUUGAGUGAUGACGGUGAUUUGUUUGGCAUUGGAGGGUGCCUUCAUUUUAAAUCACCGGAUUGGUUGAUACAUUCAUUUACUAUCCUCAUAAUGGCUACACUUUAUGGUGAAAGACACCACCCUCUCUCUAUAUUUGAUGUGCCUGUUUAGAAUUUAUUUAGUACUAUUGGAUUAAUAUUUUAUUUUAUUUGGUAGAUUGCGAUGCAAAAAUGAUAUCGUACUGCAAAUAGAGAAGCAUGACUUUGUUUGUAACCAUCAUGGUAACUGUGAGGAUAGUAGUCAUAGGUCUUUGAUGGUCGCUGUGGUUCUAGAUAUGAUGGGUAUGUCAAUAGUGAAGUGCCUGUGGUAGUAUGGGAUAUAGUGGUAAUAAUGAUGUGAUGUGUUAUAUUGAAAAUGGCAUCAAUAGAUGUGUCAUGGUGAUCCUAGUAAGGGUAGUUUUGAUAUAGAUUGACAUGCAUGGCUGCUUCAUAACCUCUAUGGUGGUGAUCAACCAUUUUAGGUGCUGGUAGUGGUGUUGGGCCAUCGACGGUUAUGAGGAAAAAAUCAGGGUUAGGCCAUUGAUGGUGGUGGUAAUAGAACUAUUUGUUUCAACUAAAUGCAAAUUUUUGUAUUUUUGUUUUCAAAAAAUUUAGCUCUUAAUUCCAAUGCCAUUUAUUUAUUUAUUUAUUUUGUAUUUUUGUUUCCAAAAAAUGUAUUGUUUUUUUAAAAAGCUAUCCAAAUACUAUACUAAAGGGCCUUUGUGGUCUCAAAAGUAGAUAUAUAAUUUUGAUCAUUUGCAAUUAUGUUCUUGUUUAGACAUUUGCUUGUGCAUUUGUGUAUGUUGUAUAAUUAUGGAGGAUGAAAUUGGCUAGGAAUAUGAUGAAUGCAUUUUCCGAAGGGCUCAUAUUGGUUGACAAAAGUGGACUUAACCUCGAAACUGUUCUUGACGUGUUGGACUUGGGUGCAAUAGCUAAUCCAAUGUUUAAGAUGAAAGGAUCCAUUAUGAACCAAAAGAGCUACUUCCCUGCAUUUCCUCUAAAACAUCAGCAGAAGGACAUGAGGUUGGCUCUUGCCCUCGGUGAUCAAAAUGCAGUAUCAAUGCCAAUGGCAACUGCUGCCAAUGAGGUAAAGCCAUUUGUUUGCUUCUCUGUUACCUUUAUCUGAACAUAAUGCUCAUUGUGAGCAGCAUGUGUUUAGUGGUCUUAACAAUGAGCUGAAUAGACAACCGAAGACAUGUUAUUAUCUAUCCUUAUAGUUUAGCCAAAAAAGUUCAUUGGUAUAGAACCAAUAAACGAGAACCACUCUAGGGUUUCAUAUUUAUCUCUUAAUCAAUAGUCAUUCAAUUAGAGGUAAUUUUCUUCUUUACUUAAUCCCAUAUAUUCCAUAACCAAAUAAGGAAAAUGACGAAAAAACAAGAAAUAAAUAAAAUUAGAAACAAUUCCUAACAAUUCUAAGUUGUCAAUUGGUGCCUCUUGUACCUAAAAUGUGUCUUCAUUCAUAGCUUUUUACUGCCUCUGGAAGCAAAACCUUGUAUAUUGGAGAAGUCCAUCUUACAAUGUCGUGAGAAUAUUCUUUACUACAUUGAAUGGACUGAUACUUGGCUCAGUAUUUUAAGGCAUGGGUUCUAAAAGGGACUCAACUCAGAACUUAUAUGUUGUCUUGGGAGCUUUUUAUCCUUCAUGCUUGUUUGUUGGAGUCAAUAACGCUUCCUCAGUACAACCAAUAGUUUCAAUCGUGAGAGCUAUAUUCUACAGAGAGAGAGAGCAGCUAGAAUGUACUCUCCAUUUCCUUAUGCUGCUGCCUAGGUGGGUAUCUUGAUAUUGAAGCUUUGUUUAAUUUGAUUUAAAACAUGACCCUCAAUAAAAAUAUGUUUAAAUUGUCUGGAUUGGCUGCAUAUAACUAUUGUUGAAAGUGGCAUGUUGAACUACUUAGCCUAAAUAGAAAUGAAAAGAGUAACAGAUAUGAUGGAAUCGCAGAGACCAUUAUGUUUAUUUUCCUCAUUUUUCAGUUGUUUUAUUUUUCAUUUUCCAAUUCUUAUAUGAGAGAUUUCUUCAAGUGAUUGCUAUAUCUAAAAUGAGUGGAAAUCAUUUGUUUUAAAACAUUAUUUUAUACUGAUACUUCGAAACAGAUAAUUUCUAAUGUAGAGUUCUGCAACAGGAAUAUGGUGGUUCAUAGAGAUCUUAAGCCCGAGAACCUGCUUCUAGAUUCCAAGUACAAUAUGAAGAUUGUUGAUUUUGGUAUGAGCAAUAUCAUGCAGGAUGGUCAUUUUCUGAAAACAAGUUGUGGAAGCCCAAAUUAUGCAGCCUCAGAGGUAUGGCGUCUAUGGAAUAUAAUUUAAGACAUUGAAACAAGUCAGUGAGAUUUUUCAAUUGAACGCUAUUUGUAUUUAAGUAACUGUUGAAUUUCCAAGGUUAAUAAAUUCAUCUAUUUUCAUAGGUUAUAUUUAGGAAAUUGUAUGCUGGACUUGAGGUAGAUGUAUGGGGCUGUGGGGUUAUCUUGUAUGCGUUUUUUUAGGCGCCCUCGUCCUUGUAAUAGGAGCAAGUGGAUUUGCUACAGCUGCAUCUGCAGUUGCAACUGCUAUAGGAACUGUUGUCGAUAUGUUUAGAUAAUUUCUUAAUAGUUGUCGAUAUGUUUAGAAAGUUAGAUAUGCAUAGUUUUGGAUGGUUUAAACUUUUUGUAUAGUUUAGAACUUAAGGAUAUAGUUUUCAAAUGUUUGAAAUGUAUAGACAAUUAUUGACUGUUUAUAUUUUAUGGAUAUAGUUUCUUUUUUGAUGUUUCAAA
Molecule: non-coding RNA, 3320 nt
Organism: Camellia sinensis
Lineage: Eukaryota; Viridiplantae; Streptophyta; Magnoliopsida; Ericales; Theaceae
Source: RefSeq, a predicted model, not a curated record